UAGGGAAUAUUAGAAAUGGACGAAAGUCUGAUCUAGCAACACCGCGUGUGCGAAGAAGGCCUUCGGGUCGUAAAGCACUUUUUGGAAGGAAUAGGAAGGAAUGUACUUCCAGAAUAAGUCUCGGCUAACUACGUGCCAGCAGCCGCGGUAACACGUAGGAGGCGAACGUUAUCCGGAUUUACUGGGCGUAAAGCGCGUGUAGGUGGUUCUGUAAGUAGGGCGUGAAAGCUCCUGGCUCAACUGGGAGAGGCCGUUCUAAACUGCAGAGCUAGAGGAUGGUAGAGGGGGGUGGGAUUCCGGGUGUAGCGGUGGAAUGCGCAGAUAUCCGGGGGAACACCAGUGGCGAAAGCGGCCUCCUGGACCAUUCCUGACACUCAGACGCGAAAGCUAGGGUAGCAAACA
This 402-nucleotide ribosomal RNA is filed under the name uncultured prokaryote. RNAcentral describes it as "bacterial SSU rRNA". It matches the Rfam family "Bacterial small subunit ribosomal RNA", at positions 355 to 774 of the family's 1533-position model. The record is from RNAcentral.